AGAGAGAGACAUGCGCGCAUAUCAAUAAGCGGAGGAAAAGAAACUAACAAGGAUUCCCUUAGUAACGGCGAGUGAAGCGGGAGGAGCUCAAAUUUGAAAUCUUCAAGGUUCUACCUUGACGAAUUGUAGUUUAUAGAAGUGUUUUCUGUUAGUGGAGUGGCAAAAGUUCUUUGGAAUAGGACAUCAUAGAGGGUGAGAAUCCCGUAUUUGGUCAUUCCUCCUAGCGUUGUGAUACACUUUCAACGAGUCGGAUUGUUUGGGAAUGCAGUCCAAAAUGGGUGGUAAAUUUCAUCUAAAGCUAAAUAUUGGCGAGAGACCGAUAGCGAACAAGUACCGUGAGGGAAAGAUGAAAAGAACUUUGAAAAGAGAGUUAAACAGUACGUGAAAUUGUCAAAAGGGAAGCGUUUGACACCAGUGUUGUUUUUCCGAAAAUCAAUUACGAAUGUUUUAUUUUUGAGGAGUUAUGACUUCAUCGGCUUGCUCCUUUCUUUAUGAAACUUUCUUAAUGCACUUCUCGGUUAACAAGUCAACAUCAAUUUCUUUUGUUGUAAAAGGGUAUGAGGAAGGUGGCUUUCUUUUCGGAGAAAGUGUUUAUAGCCUUGUGCCUCUGCAAUCGGAGAGAUUGAGGUCUGCAGCGUAGAUCCUUCGGGGUUAGAUACGUUUGUGCUAAGUUAUAGCUUUUCAUAGACAACUUGUUGACUAUGUUUAGUCUUGUAGCUUACUCGCUGACGCUAUUUUACCUACGCUUAGGAUGUUGAUAGUCACAGCGUGUAC
This 774-nucleotide ribosomal RNA is filed under the name uncultured Neocallimastigales. RNAcentral describes it as "partial large subunit ribosomal RNA". It matches the Rfam family "Eukaryotic large subunit ribosomal RNA", at positions 23 to 644 of the family's 3401-position model. Lineage: Eukaryota; Fungi; Neocallimastigomycota; Neocallimastigomycetes; Neocallimastigales. The record is from RNAcentral.